GAAAUGCGAUAAGUAAUGUGAAUUGCAGAAUUCCGUGAAUCAUCGAAUCUUUGAACGCAUAUUGCGCCCUCUGGUAUUCCGGGGGGCAUGCCUGUCCGAGCGUCAUUACUACCAUCAAGCGCGGCUUGUUUGUUGAGCCUUGUUCUUUAUGAACAGGCUUGAAAUGCAGUGGCGACUGCCUGGCCUGGUGCCCGAGUGUAUGGAGCUUUGUCACACGCUCUGGUGGCCCACCUGGCAUUCUGUCAACAUUGAUUGGCUUUGUAUCUGGAUUGACCUCGGAUCAGGUAGGAAAACCCGCUGAACUUAA
Molecule: unclassified non-coding RNA, 307 nt
Filed under: uncultured Eurotiomycetes
Lineage: Eukaryota; Fungi; Ascomycota; Eurotiomycetes
Description: sequence contains ITS1
Rfam family: 5.8S ribosomal RNA (bases 1-105)
Source: RNAcentral